RNAcentral lists this transfer RNA (67 nucleotides) under Marmota monax (woodchuck). RNAcentral's name for it is "tRNA.Ala". The record is from RNAcentral. Lineage: Eukaryota; Metazoa; Chordata; Mammalia; Rodentia; Sciuridae.
GUUGUGCUCAGAGGUAGAGUGUUCACCUAGCAUGCCUGAGGCACUGGGUUCGAUUCUCAGCACCACA